This 254-nucleotide ribosomal RNA is filed under the name uncultured bacterium. RNAcentral's name for it is "partial 16S ribosomal RNA". It matches the Rfam family "Bacterial small subunit ribosomal RNA", at positions 524 to 776 of the family's 1533-position model. The record is from RNAcentral.
UACGGGGGGGGCAAGCGUUGUUCGGAAUUACUGGGCGUAAAGGGCUCGUAGGCGGCCAACUAAGUCAGACGUGAAAUCCCUCGGCUUAACCGGGGAACUGCGUCUGAUACUGGAUGGCUUGAGAUUGGGAGAGGGAUGCGGAAUUCCAGGUGUAGCGGUGAAAUGCGUAGAUAUCUGGAGGAACACCGGUGGCGAAGGCGGCAUCCUGGACCAACACUGACUCUGAGUGAGCGAAAGCCAGGGGAGCAAACGGG